Molecule: long non-coding RNA, 215 nt
Filed under: Elaeis guineensis (African oil palm)
Lineage: Eukaryota; Viridiplantae; Streptophyta; Magnoliopsida; Arecales; Arecaceae
Description: long non-coding RNA (EGUI_LNC042831)
Source: RNAcentral
CCUUAUUCAUCUGGUGCGCGUGAAGGAGAGGGGGUGCAGGGACUUAAUUACAAAUGUUGUAAUUUUUUUGAGGCUGAUUAAAUUAUGAAUUAAAUUUUAAUUAAUUUAAAUUUAAUUUAAUUUAAUUUAAUUUAAUAUUAAUUAAAUUUAAUUAUCCAAAUCAGAUUUAGAUUUCAGACCUGAUUGGAUCAGGCUUAACAGCCUUUUCAAAUUCA